Molecule: ribosomal RNA, 1372 nt
Filed under: uncultured bacterium
Lineage: Bacteria
Description: bacterial SSU rRNA
Rfam family: Bacterial small subunit ribosomal RNA
Source: RNAcentral
GAUGAACGCUGGCGGCGUGCCUAAUACAUGCAAGUCGAGCGAACGGACGAGAAGCUUGCUUCUCUGAUGUUAGCGGCGGACGGGUGAGUAACACGUGGAUAACCUACCUAUAAGACUGGGAUAACUUCGGGAAACCGGAGCUAAUACCGGAUAAUAUUUUGAACCGCAUGGUUCAAAAGUGAAAGACGGUCUUGCUGUCACUUAUAGAUGGAUCCGCGCUGCAUUAGCUAGUUGGUAAGGUAACGGCUUACCAAGGCAACGAUGCAUAGCCGACCUGAGAGGGUGAUCGGCCACACUGGAACUGAGACACGGUCCAGACUCCUACGGGAGGCAGCAGUAGGGAAUCUUCCGCAAUGGGCGAAAGCCUGACGGUGCAACGCCGCGUGAGUGAUGAAGGCCUUCGGAUCGUAAAACUCUGUUAUUAGGGAAGAACAUAUGUGUAAGUAACUGUGCACAUCUUGACGGUACCUAAUCAGAAAGCCACGGCUAACUACGUGCCAGCAGCCGCGGUAAUACGUAGGUGGCAAGCGUUAUCCGGAAUUAUUGGGCGUAAAGCGCGCGUAGGCGGUUUUUUAAGUCUGAUGUGAAAGCCCACGGCUCAACCGUGGAGGGUCAUUGGAAACUGGAAAACUUGAGUGCAGAAGAGGAAAGUGGAAUUCCAUGUGUAGCGGUGAAAUGCGCAGAGAUAUGGAGGAACACCAGUGGCGAAGGCGACUUUCUGGUCCGUAACUGACGCUGAUGUGCGAAAGCGUGGGGAUCAAACAGGAUUAGAUACCCUGGUAGUCCACGCCGUAAACGAUGAGUGCUAAGUGUUAGGGGGUUUCCGCCCCUUAGUGCUGCAGCUAACGCAUUAAGCACUCCGCCUGGGGAGUACGACCGCAAGGUUGAAACUCAAAGGAAUUGACGGGGACCCGCACAAGCGGUGGAGCAUGUGGUUUAAUUCGAAGCAACGCGAAGAACCUUACCAAAUCUUGACAUCCUUUGACAACUCUAGAGAUAGAGCCUUCCCCUUCGGGGGACAAAGUGACAGGUGGUGCAUGGUUGUCGUCAGCUCGUGUCGUGAGAUGUUGGGUUAAGUCCCGCAACGAGCGCAACCCUUAAGCUUAGUUGCCAUCAUUAAGUUGGGCACUCUAAGUUGACUGCCGGUGACAAACCGGAGGAAGGUGGGGAUGACGUCAAAUCAUCAUGCCCCUUAUGAUUUGGGCUACACACGUGCUACAAUGGACAAUACAAAGGGCAGCGAAACCGCGAGGUCAAGCAAAUCCCAUAAAGUUGUUCUCAGUUCGGAUUGUAGUCUGCAACUCGACUACAUGAAGCUGGAAUCGCUAGUAAUCGUAGAUCAGCAUGCUACGGUGAAUACGUUCCCGGGUCU